RNAcentral lists this ribosomal RNA (948 nucleotides) under Enterococcus faecium. Its description in RNAcentral is "partial 23S ribosomal RNA". It matches the Rfam family "Bacterial large subunit ribosomal RNA", at positions 148 to 1097 of the family's 2925-position model. Lineage: Bacteria; Bacillati; Bacillota; Bacilli; Lactobacillales; Enterococcaceae. The record is from RNAcentral.
UUACGAUUGUGUGAAUACAUAGCACAUUCGAGGUAGACGCAGAGAACUGAAACAUCUAAGUACCUGCAGGAAGAGAAAGAAAAUUCGAUUCCCUGAGUAGCGGCGAGCGAAACGGGAAAAGCCCAAACCAGCAAGCUUGCUUGUUGGGGUUGUAGGACUCCAAUAUGGUAGUUCUUUCAGAUAGUCGAAUGACUUGGAAAAGUCAGUCAAAGAGGGUAAAAACCCCGUAGACGAAAUGUGGAAGACACCUAGGAGGAUCCUGAGUACGGCGGAACACGAGAAAUUCCGUCGGAAUCCGGGAGGACCAUCUCCCAAGGCUAAAUACUCCCUAGUGACCGAUAGUGAACCAGUACCGUGAGGGAAAGGUGAAAAGCACCCCGGAAGGGGAGUGAAAUAGAACCUGAAACCGUGUGCCUACAACAAGUCAAAGCCCGUUAAUGGGUGAUGGCGUGCCUUUUGUAGAAUGAACCGGCGAGUUACGAUUGCAUGCGAGGUUAAGUUGAAGAGACGGAGCCGCAGCGAAAGCGAGUCUGAAUAGGGCGUUUGAGUAUGUAGUCGUAGACCCGAAACCAUGUGAUCUACCCAUGUCCAGGUUGAAGGUGCGGUAAAACGCACUGGAGGACCGAACCCACGUACGUUGAAAAGUGCGGGGAUGAGGUGUGGGUAGCGGAGAAAUUCCAAACGAACUUGGAGAUAGCUGGUUCUCUCCGAAAUAGCUUUAGGGCUAGCCUCGGAAUUGAGAAUGAUGGAGGUAGAGCACUGUUUGGACUAGGGGCCCAUCUCGGGUUACCGAAUUCAGAUAAACUCCGAAUGCCAUUCAUUCAUAUCCGGGAGUCAGACUGUGAGUGAUAAGAUCCAUAGUCGAAAGGGAAACAGCCCAGACCACCAGCUAAGGUCCCAAAAUAUAUGUUAAGUGGAAAAGGAUGUGGGGUUGCACAGACAACUAGG